UACGUAGGCAGCGAGCGUUGUUCGGAAUUACUGGGCGUAAAGAGUGUGUAGGCGGUGUCCUAAGUCUGGUGUGAAAUCUCCCGGCUCAACUGGGAGGGUGCGCCGGAAACUGGGAUGCUAGAGGAUGGGAGAGGUAAGCGGAAUUCCUGGUGUAGCGGUGAAAUGCGUAGAUAUCAGGAGGAACACCUGUGGUGUAGACAGCUUACUGGACCAUUUCUGACGCUGAGACACGAAAGCGUGGGUAGCAAACAGG
This 253-nucleotide ribosomal RNA is filed under the name uncultured bacterium. RNAcentral's name for it is "partial 16S ribosomal RNA". It matches the Rfam family "Bacterial small subunit ribosomal RNA", at positions 524 to 776 of the family's 1533-position model. The record is from RNAcentral.